Molecule: ribosomal RNA, 253 nt
Filed under: uncultured bacterium
Lineage: Bacteria
Description: partial 16S ribosomal RNA
Rfam family: Bacterial small subunit ribosomal RNA
Source: RNAcentral
UACGGGGGGUGCAAGCGUUAUUCGGAAUUAUUGGGCGUAGAGGGCGCGUAGGCGGUUCUAUAAGUCAGCUGUGAAAGCCCUGGGCUUAACCCAGGAAGUGCAUUUGAAACUAUGGAACUUGAGUACGGUAGAGGAAAGCGGAAUUCCUGGUGUAGAGGUGAAAUUCGUAGAUAUCAGGAGGAACACCGGUGGCGAAGGCGGCUUUCUGGACCUGUACUGACGCUGAGGCGCGAAGGCGUGGGUAGCGAACGGG